GCAUAAGACCCGGCUGCAGGGCAGCGUCCGGCGGGGAGAGGACCGGGUCCAGCCAGGCCUGGGAUGAAGACAGGACUGGAAGUGUUGCCGGAUGAACAGGCAGGCUUGAGCAGCUUGGCAGGGCAUCCCGGAGCUUCCCGAAGGAGCCGCUGCGCCGCAAGGAGCCGCUGCCGUCCUGCAGGGAGGCCGACA
This is a long non-coding RNA of Dama dama (fallow deer), 192 nucleotides long. RefSeq lists it as uncharacterized. The transcript is spliced from 3 exons. Lineage: Eukaryota; Metazoa; Chordata; Mammalia; Artiodactyla; Cervidae. The record is from RefSeq and is a predicted model, not a curated record.